Molecule: ribosomal RNA, 497 nt
Filed under: uncultured bacterium
Lineage: Bacteria
Description: partial 16S ribosomal RNA
Rfam family: Bacterial small subunit ribosomal RNA
Source: RNAcentral
GACGAACGCUGGCGGCGUGCCUAAUACAUGCAAGUAGAACGCUGAAGAGAGGAGCUUGCUCUUCUUGGAUGAGUUGCGAACGGGUGAGUAACGCGUAGGUAACCUGCCUUGUAGCGGGGGAUAACUAUUGGAAACGAUAGCUAAUACCGCAUAACAAUGGAUGACACAUGUCAUUUAUUUGAAAGGGGCAAUUGCUCCACUACAAGAUGGACCUGCGUUGUAUUAGCUAGUAGGUGAGGUAACGGCUCACCUAGGCGACGAUACAUAGCCGACCUGAGAGGGUGAUCGGCCACACUGGGACUGAGACACGGCCCAGACUCCUACGGGAGGCAGCAGUAGGGAAUCUUCGGCAAUGGGGGAAACCCUGACCGAGCAACGCCGCGUGAGUGAAGAAGGUUUUCGGAUCGUAAAGCUCUGUUGUAAGUCAAGAACGAGUGUGAGAGUGGAAAGUUCACAAUGUGACGGUAGCUUACCAGAAAGGGACGGCUAACUACGUG